GCUAUAACAAAUAUUUAGAAAAGAGUUAAUUACAACCUUACACAAACUCUUUAAGAGAAAGGGAAAUCGUCUCUUAAUGGUUUUGUGAAGUGUGAUAAACUGAAUUCUAAGAUGUCUUCCCAAAGAUCCCAUGCUCCAAUACCAGAAGAGGUGAGAUGUACUUAAGGUUACUCAUUACUUGACCUUAAAAUGGUGACACUAUUUUUAUUAUUAACAUGGGCCCAUAAAAUCACAAGAGCCCUUAAAGUAGAAGAGGAGGUCAGAGGAUGCAGCAGGAGAGGAGGUCAGAUGACAAAGCAGCAGAGGAGGUCAGAGGAUGCAGCAGGAGAGGAGGUCAGAGGAUGCAGCAGCAAAGGAGGUCAGAGGAUGCAGCAGCAGAGGAGGUCAGAGGAUGCAGCAGCAGAGGAGGUCAGAGGAUGCAGCAGCAGAGGUGGUCAGAGGAUGCAGCAGCAGAGGAGGUCAGAGGAUGCAGCAGGAGAGGAGGUCAGAGGAUGCAGCAGGAGAGGAGGUCAGAGGAUGGUUUGAAGCCCUGGAAGGAUUCAGGGAGCAGCUGCUGGCUUUGAAGAUGGAGGGGCUGUGGGAGAAGCAAGCUGGCAGCCUCCAGACUCUGAGAAUGGCGCCUGGCCCACCCCUACUGCCCAUGAGAAGACAGAGUCUUUAGUCCUACAACUGCCUGAGGAGGAAAUGAAAUGUACAACCACCUGCAUUAGCCUGAGAGUGGAUUCUAUUCCAGAGCCUCCAUAUAUAAGCCCUGGCUGGCUGACACUGAUUUUAGUCCAGUGAGAACCAGCCCAGAGACUCCAGUGUGACAUUCCUGAAUUUAUGACCUGCAGAACUGAGAGACAUUACAUCCGCCUUGUUUUAUUGCUCUGUCUAGGUCUGCCCUUGGACAAAGCCAACUGAAAUUGGGAACUCAAACCUAUAUGGGUUUCUUCUGCAACUCCUCUCUCCAAUCUGCCUGCUUUUGCUUGUUUUUCAGAGUCCUCAGGUAGUUGCUUUUUGUAUUUUAUCCAGAGGUUUUCGUUGUAAUUAGUGGGAACAGAGGCUGUAGUGGUCUUAACUGAUCCCAGUCAGAACUGAAAACCGUUCUGUCUCCUCUUGUUGAAUGCCUGAUAGACCUUUGCAUUCAAUUCUUCAUGCCUUGUCAUUUCUCUUCAAUGUUUCCCAUAUGCUCAUUUUUCUAAGAUGCAAAUUCUGGGGCCAGCCUGGUGGCACAGUGGUUAAAUUUGCCCACUCAGCUUCAGUGGCCUGGAAUUCCCUGGUUUGGAUCCUGGUUGCAGACCUACACACCACUCAUCAGGGCGUGCUGUGGCAGUGUCCCACAUAUAAGCAGAGGAAGAUUGGCAACAGAUGUUGGCUCAGGGCCAGUCUUCCUCACACACACACACAAAAAGUAAAUUGCAAAUCCUAUGAUAAAUACUAUGACUAUCUUUGAACAAUAAUCUUUGUGAUUAUCACUGAUUAAUAUUAUUACAUAAUUCUCAAUUGCUUUCAAAAGUGGUUGGAAAAAAUCAUAUUCCUACCAACAACAUGUAGGAAUGACUCACUAUAUUCUCCCUCACAUUUAUUUUUAUUAUUUAAAAAAUGACGUCUGAUAGUUUUUUAUAUGCACA
This 1613-nucleotide long non-coding RNA is filed under the name Equus caballus (horse). Its description in RNAcentral is "lncRNA (ENSECAG00000050053.1)". The record is from RNAcentral. Lineage: Eukaryota; Metazoa; Chordata; Mammalia; Perissodactyla; Equidae.